UACCAGUUUGAUUCUGACUGAAAAAUUAACUCUAUACCAACCAACAUACAUGUAAAAUACUCAAUUCCCGCACUAUAUUAUAUCUAAAAGAUCUAAUAAAUGUAUUAAGAAUAUUCUUGAUACAGUAGAGCGCCACAGUAAAUAACACUUCUCAAUUUGAAAAAUCAAGAAAAGAGUGUGGUAUAAGGGCUGGCAAAAUUCGUGCCAGCUGCCGCGGUUAGACGAUAAGCCCAAGUUAAUAUAAUAUAAACUAAUUAAUGAUAAGUUAAAUAAUAAUAAAAGUCUAAUUUUUAAAAUUCCUGACUCACACUUAUCAAAUAAAAUUGAAAUCACGAGCUAAAACAUGGAUUAGAUACCCAUCUAUUCAUGACAUAAAUAACAGUUGAAUAUUACGAACAACAGUUUAAAAUUCAAAGAUUUUGGCGGUGUCUUAUAAAACCAGGGGAACCUGUCUCAUAACUCGAUAAUCCACGCAUACUCAACCUUCUAUUGAUAUAUCAGCAUGUAUACUGCCGUUGUAAGUAUACCUUUAAAAGAACAAGUAUACUACUAUGAUUAUUUAUUAUAACUCAUAUACAUCAGGUCAAAGUGCAGCCAAUAAGAAGGUGAUGAUGGGUUACAACCCCAAAACAGAUUAUCAACUAAGAAAUAAAAAAUCUUAAGAAAGUGGACUUGGCUGUAAUUAAUUUACAAGUUAAAAAAAUGAAUAAAAUCUAAGACAUGUACACAUCGCCCGUCACUCUAUCCUAAAGGUUAGAUAAGUCGUAACAAAGUAGGUGUAAUGGAAAUUGUACCUGU
RNAcentral lists this ribosomal RNA (798 nucleotides) under Amynthas deogyusanensis. Its description in RNAcentral is "12S ribosomal RNA". Lineage: Eukaryota; Metazoa; Annelida; Clitellata; Crassiclitellata; Megascolecidae. The record is from RNAcentral.